GAUGAACGCUAGCGGCAGGCUUAAUACAUGCAAGUCGAGGGGCAGCAGGGGUAGCAAUACUCGCUGGCGACCGGCAAACGGGUGCGGAACACGUACGCAACGUUCCCAAAACUGGUGAAUAGCCCUCCGAAAGGAGGAUUAAUACACCGUAACAUAAUGAAGUGGCAUCACUUUAUUAUUAUAGCUCCGGCGGUUUUGGAUGGGCGUGCGCCUGAUUAGGUAGUUGGUAGGGUAACGGCCACCAAGCCUGCGAUCAGUAACUGGUGUGAGAGCACGACCAGUCACACGGGCACUGAGACACGGGCCCGACUCCUACGGGAGGCAGCAGUAAGGAAUAUUGGUCAAUGGACGCAAGUCUGAACCAGCCAUGCCGCGUGAAGGAUGAAGGCCCUCUGGGUUGUAAACUU
Molecule: ribosomal RNA, 407 nt
Filed under: uncultured bacterium
Lineage: Bacteria
Description: bacterial SSU rRNA
Rfam family: Bacterial small subunit ribosomal RNA
Source: RNAcentral